Molecule: ribosomal RNA, 534 nt
Filed under: uncultured diatom
Lineage: Eukaryota; Bacillariophyta
Description: bacterial SSU rRNA
Rfam family: Bacterial small subunit ribosomal RNA
Source: RNAcentral
UCCGCAAUGGGCGAAAGCCUGACGGAGCAAUACSGCGUGAGGGAUGACGGCCUAUGGGUUGUAAACCUCUUUUUUCAGGGAGGAAUCAAUGACGUGUACCUGAAGAAUAAGCAUCGGCUAACUCCGUGCCAGCAGCCGCGGUAAGACGGAGGAUGCAAGUGUUAUCCGGAAUCACUGGGCGUAAAGCGUCUGUAGGUGGUCAAAUAAGUCAACUGUUAAAUCUUGAGGCUCAACCUCAAAAUCGCAGUCGAAACUAUUAGACUAGAGUAUAGUAGGGGUAAAGGGAAUUUCCAGUGGAGCGGUGAAAUGCGUAGAGAUUGGAAAGAACACCGAUGGCGAAGGCACUUUACUGGGCUAUUACUGACACUCAGAGACGAAAGCUAGGGUAGCAAAUGGGAUUAGAUACCCCAGUAGUCCUAGCUGUAAACAAUGGAUACUAGAUGUUGAACAGAUCGACCUGUGCAGUAUCAAAGCUAACGCGUWAAGUAUCCCGCCUGGGGAGUAUGCUCGCAAGAGUGAAACUCAAAUGAAUUG